GAUGAACGCUGGCGGCGUGCCUAAUACAUGCAAGUCGAGCGAACAGACGAGGAGCUUGCUCCUUUGACGUUAGCGGCGGACGGGUGAGUAACACGUAGGUAACCUACCUAUAAGCCGGGGAUAACUUCGGGAAACCGGAGCUAAUACCGGAUAAUAUUUCGAACCGCAUGGUUCGAUAGUGAAAGAUGGCUUUGCUAUCACUUAUAGAUGGACCUGCGCCGUAUUAGCUAGUUGGUAAGGUAACGGCUUACCAAGGCAACGAUACGUAGCCGACCUGAGAGGGUGAUCGGCCACACUGGAACUGAGACACGGUCCAGACUCCUACGGGAGGCAGCAGUAGGGAAUCUUCCGCAAUGGGCGAAAGCCUGACGGAGCAACGCCGCGUGAGUGAUGAAGGUCUUCGGAUCGUAAAACUCUGUUAUUAGGGAAGAACAAACGUGUAAGUAACUGUGCACGUCUUGACGGUACCUAAUCAGAAAGCCACGGCUAACUACGUG
RNAcentral lists this ribosomal RNA (497 nucleotides) under uncultured bacterium. RNAcentral's name for it is "partial 16S ribosomal RNA". It matches the Rfam family "Bacterial small subunit ribosomal RNA", at positions 28 to 507 of the family's 1533-position model. The record is from RNAcentral.